CACGUAGGCGGUUUGGUCAGUCUGCUGUGAAAUCCCUGGGCUUAACCUAGGAAUUGCAGUGGAUACUGCCUGACUAGAGUGUGAGAGAGGGGGGUGGAAUUCCAGGUGUAGCGGUGAAAUGCGUAGAGAUCUGGAGGAACACCAGUGGCGAAGGCGGCCCCCUGGUUCAACACUGACGCUGAGGUGCGAAAGCGUGGGGAGCAAACAG
RNAcentral lists this ribosomal RNA (208 nucleotides) under uncultured Chromatiaceae bacterium. RNAcentral's name for it is "partial 16S ribosomal RNA". It matches the Rfam family "Bacterial small subunit ribosomal RNA", at positions 568 to 775 of the family's 1533-position model. The record is from RNAcentral. Lineage: Bacteria; Pseudomonadati; Pseudomonadota; Gammaproteobacteria; Chromatiales; Chromatiaceae.